UUUUUUUUUUUUUUUCAAUUGAAGUAUAGUUCAUUUACAAUGUUGUGUUGAUUUCAAUUAGAUAGCAGAGCGAUUUGGUUAUAUUCAGUUAUAUAUAGACAUUGUAGAUUAUUACAAAAUAUUGAAUAUAGUUCCCUGUGCCAUACAAUAGGUCCCUGUUGUUUACCUGUUUUAUAUAUAGCAGUACAUCUAUAGAGUGCUUUUUUUUGCAGGGGGGAGGGGGUGGUCUACACCUGUGGCAUAAGGAAGUUCCCAGGCCAGAGGUCAAAUCAGAGCUGCAGCAGCCAGCCUACACCACAGCCAUAGCAACUUGAGAUCUGAGCCACAUCUGUGACCUACACCACAGCUCAGGGCAAUGCCAGAUCCUUAACCCACUGACUGAGGCCAGGGAUCAAACCCACAUCCUCACGGAUACUAGUUGGGUUCACUACCACUGAGCCACGAUGGCAACUCCCUAGAGUGCUUCUUAAUAAGUAUUAAGUUUUCAUUUGAAGUGAUGAAAAAUCUGGAACUGGAGAGUGCUAAUGGUUGUAUGACAUUGUGCAUGUGCUUAAUGCCACUGAAAUUAUAAACUUUAAGUGAUAAAUUUUAUGUUGUGUAUUUUACCACAAUUAAAAAAAAAUAAUGACAACAGCCCACGUGGAAACAGGAUCUCAGAGUUGGUGGUGACCAUGUGGAAAGAACCCCUUGGAAGCAUAUAGACACAGGCAGAAGUGCUUGGGAAUUUUUUCAGGCCCGGAAUGAACAUUCAAGCUGUGAUCUCAUGAGACUGGGCUGUCCAUAUAAAGGACAUGUAAUUUUGUAAAAGAAUCUGCCCCAAAUUGCAGGGAAUGAAAUCCGCUCCCUUGGCAUACCUGUCCUGGCACAGCGGAAACAAAUCUGACUAGUAUCCAAGAGGACGCAGGUUUGACCCCUGGCUUCGCUCCGUGGGUUAAGGAUCCAACGUUGCCGUGAGCUGUGGUGUAGGUCGCAGACGCAGCUCGGACCACUGCGUUGCUGUGGCUGUGGCGUAGACCGGUGGCUAUAGCUCCGAUUAGACCCCUAGCCUGGGAACCUCUAUAUGCUGCAGGUGUGGCCAUAAAAAGACAAGAAAGAAGAAAGAGAGAGAGAGAGAGAGAGAAAGGAAGGAAGGAAUCCACUCCGUUGAGCCCUGGGUGCAGGGCUCUUCUGUCGCUGGUCGCCUGUCUUCAUCUUACAAAGCUCAGCCCAUCUUCUCCCUUCCUCUCCAAGAUGCAGCAGGAGAAACCCCGCUCCGGGCCUUCCAUGGUCACCUUGGCCCCGAAAGCACACAGUGCCCACUUUUCCUCUCAGCAGCCACAAAGCGGAUGUCUUUCCUCAUCGGUUCUGCCUUUGAGUGUUUAUUGCUAAGUCAUUAGUCCACCCCAGCCCGAAGAGCCUCCAAGAGACAUGGCUGGGAAAUGCUAUUUCCUGGGGGGCAGGAGAAGGGAGGAGAGCGGAGGCUGCUUCUCAGGAGCCUGAGAGGCGAAGCUCUCCUCCUGGCUGCACUUAAAUCUCAUCUCCGGCGACAGCAAGGCAAGUGGGCCUAAGAAUGGGCUCCGGCUCCCUCUCUGCACACAAAGGAAAGUGACUAUAGAUGCGCUUUGCAUUCUUCCGUGUUCUUUCCUUUGCAAGGGGCCAUUCUUUUCCUAAUGGAAUCAAGCCUCUCUUUAAAAAAAAAUACACACAGGAGUUCCCAUUGUGGCACAGUGGUUAACGAAUCCGACUAGGAACCAUGAGGUUGCUGGUUCAAUCCCUGGCCUCACUCAGUGGGUUAAGGAUCCAGCGUUGCUGUGAGCUGUGGUGUAGGUCGCAGUUGCUAUGGUUGGAUCCUGCAUUGCUAUGGUUGUGGCGUAGGCUGGUGGCUACAGCUCUGAUUAGACCCCUAGCCCUGGAACCUCCAUAUGCCAAGGGUGCGGCCCUAGGGGGAAAGAAAAAUACACACAGUUCAGUCACUUUCUUUUGUGAGAUUUCAGAAGAGAUGCUUUAUUCGGUUCAGAAAUAUGGCAACAGCUGGAGAACAAAGGCAAAGAACAGAGACUUGCAAUUAUUUGUCGUGUGGGUGGGAGGAGAGAGGGAGGGCUGUGUAAAUGGGGGGAGAAGAGUGGUGGCCGAAGGGACCAGGUGGGAGCAAAUACCCCUGAUUUUUCCUCACAUGUCAGGGCCCUUUCCUCUCUGCAUCCCCUCGGUGGUACUCUCGCCCUUCCCAGCGUCUCAUCACCUUUCCCCCAAACACUCCCUCUUAUCUUAAGAAUCUGGAGCUGUUACUACUGCCUCAAUUCAGGCCUCACAUUUCAAUGUCCCACAGAUGCGGGAUCCAGUUCCUACCUCCCCGGGUACAAUUGUGCUGGCCUGACAGUCUGACCUCAGCCAGUAUCACCACAGAAACUAGUGCCCUUGCUCCCUAUCCAAACCCUCCCACAAGAAUCUCACCCGUGGUGUCUGGAGGUUACGUCAUAACUCAGAGAAAUGAUGGGGAUUUCAGGUGCUUUAUGGGCUGAUGGGGCUUAUAUUUUAAGACAGGUUGGGUCACUGUCAUGUCUUCAAGUUCAAUUGCCUAAGUGGCCUGNNNNNNNNNNNNNNNNNNNNNNNNNNUGCUGAACCAAGGGAACCAGGCAUUGUUGAAAUCUGGGGAGUAAGUUAAGACCUUUACUCCUCCUGGGGCCACCAAGUCAAUGGAGCAGUUUUUUGUACAGUUGAAAGGUCUCUGGGCUUUCUCAGAAAUGCCUGGGAAUGACCACAGGCUUGCCCGCCCCUGGAAUACUCUGGGUGCACACCCACACUCAGGGUUCUGCUGAAGUGGGCACCCCGUUGGCCUGUUCCUCUGAAUUCCUCAACCACCAGACUCUUAGCGUACACCUUCCGGCCCAGGGCCAGCUCCAGUGACAGCUCACCGCCAUUUCCCCAGGACUUUCUCUUGUUGCUUCUUGCCGGGGAAACCAGUUGGACCCCUGGGAAGGACUGGGUAAGCCAUGGUCAAGACACUAUUUUAGUGUGCUCAGCAGUGGGAAAACAGGAUAAAUUGCUGGACUGGCACAGAGCAUGCUACCCAUGAAACACUCUCCGAGGUUAACUCGUCCAAUUUCCGGUUUCUGGGUCAACUUGAAAAACAACCUUAAAUCUGUAGAUGUUUUCAUCACAAAAUGACUAGGAAGUGACGAGCUUUGUGUGUGUGUAUCACCUUUGUCUUUAAUGUUAUUUAAUUGUAAGUCGCCUAAGUGUAAUGUUUAAUGAUGGCUGUGUUUAACCAUUAGCUCACAAAAAUCCCUGAAAAUUGAGGUCAGCUCCUCUAAGCUUGAAUGAGCCAGCUUCAGCCUGUCACAUCCUGACAGUGCCCAUCUUUUUGCCAAAGAGUCAUAAUUUCUUAGAAGGCAGGCUAGACGUUCUACCAGGGCAAGGAGAGUGCCCAUCUGGUUGGUCAUUGAAUCACCCCUGUGGCCCAGUGGCCAUGGGUACUAGGUACCCUCAGUACCUGCUUGUUGACUGAUAGCAAAGACCUAUCUUUGUAACCACAUCAGCCAUUAAAGACUGCUUGGCAAAUAAUAGGCUGCUGGAAAUCCUGGCCGCUUGAACAGUGGAAAAUAAUGGAAUAAGAAAAAAUGCAAUGCAAACUGGUCUUUAGCUUAUUCAUCUUUAUAAGUUUUAUAAAAGUAAAAG
RNAcentral lists this long non-coding RNA (3654 nucleotides) under Sus scrofa (pig). Its description in RNAcentral is "lncRNA (ENSSSCG00005034155.1)". Lineage: Eukaryota; Metazoa; Chordata; Mammalia; Artiodactyla; Suidae. The record is from RNAcentral.